AAUGCAUAGGAAAUUGCCUUGAAGUGGGGGAUAGCCCGGAGAAAUCCGGAUUAAUACCGCAUGCGCUCUACGGAGCAAAGCGGGCCUCUGAUUUAAGCUCGCGCUUUGAGAUAUGCCUAUGUCGGAUUAGCUUGUUGGUAGGGUAAAAGCCUACCAAGGCGACGAUCCGUAGCUGGUUUGAGAGGAUGAUCAGCCACACUGGGACUGAGACACGGCCCAG
Molecule: ribosomal RNA, 220 nt
Filed under: uncultured bacterium
Lineage: Bacteria
Description: partial 16S ribosomal RNA
Rfam family: Bacterial small subunit ribosomal RNA
Source: RNAcentral